This 306-nucleotide ribosomal RNA is filed under the name Staphylococcus aureus. RNAcentral describes it as "partial 23S ribosomal RNA". It matches the Rfam family "Bacterial large subunit ribosomal RNA", at positions 984 to 1294 of the family's 2925-position model. The record is from RNAcentral. Lineage: Bacteria; Bacillati; Bacillota; Bacilli; Caryophanales; Staphylococcaceae.
UCAGAACAUGGGUGAUAAGGUCCGUGUUCGAAAGGGAAACAGCCCAGACCACCAGCUAAGGUCCCAAAAUAUAUGUUAAGUGGAAAAGGAUGUGGCGUUGCCCAGACAACUAGGAUGUUGGCUUAGAAGCAGCCAUCAUUUAAAGAGUGCGUAAUAGCUCACUAGUCGAGUGACACUGCGCCGAAAAUGUACCGGGGCUAAACAUAUUACCGAAGCUGUGGAUUGUCCUUUGGACAAUGGUAGGAGAGCGUUCUAAGGGCGUUGAAGCAUGAUCGUAAGGACAUGUGGAGCGCUUAGAAGUGAGAA